UAACAGUUCAAAACCUACCAGUGCUUCAGCAAAAACUGCAUUUUGAUCUCUCAGGUGCCAACAUUUGGUUCUCCUUGCUUCGGUAUAAUAGAAGAGGACAUCGGGACAUAAAAUGAAAACUAGCAGAGAAAUGCUACAUCUAAAUAUUUCUGGAUAUGACACAAGUAGAAAACGGGAAUAUGAAAAAUCAGAAAAAGAGAAUAAUGGAUGAGAUAAAGCAGAGGAAAUCAUGUCACAUGUCAGAAAAGUAAUGCCCAGUAAAGAAAUAUAGCAUGACAUAACACUCCUCCAUUGAAAGGCACAGAACUUUGUUC
Molecule: long non-coding RNA, 314 nt
Organism: Mustela erminea (ermine)
Lineage: Eukaryota; Metazoa; Chordata; Mammalia; Carnivora; Mustelidae
Exons: 3
Source: RefSeq, a predicted model, not a curated record